This 1057-nucleotide long non-coding RNA is filed under the name Linum usitatissimum (flax). Its description in RNAcentral is "long non-coding RNA (LUSI_LNC002356)". Lineage: Eukaryota; Viridiplantae; Streptophyta; Magnoliopsida; Malpighiales; Linaceae. The record is from RNAcentral.
CCGGCUAUCGGGCGCAUGACGGUUGACGCUUCUCGGCUAUUUUCGGCUAAUAUCUCUCACAAUCGCCUGCUCGGUGUUUGUGAGGAUAAACUAAUUGGUCCUUUGGUAGGAAAAACUCUUGCGUGUUGAUGGAUACAUAGGAAGGAAUAGAAGUUUCAAGUUCCAAAACCUGAGAGAAAGGUAAUUGAAUCCUUUUUCUUUUGGCGAGUGUAUGGUAGAUCUAGAAUUCUAGAAGCAGUAGCAACGAUGGCAGAAACAGGUAUUGAUCGCCGGUGAUGGGAAAUCGAGUGAAGGAGGUGAAAUGGUUGAAACCUCGAUGAAUGAUCAACUUUUAGUUUUAUCUUAUAAGAAAUUGGGAAUUUGAAUUUGUUGUGAUUAGGGAUUUAAGAGGGAUUAACUUAUUGGUUGCUGAAAGUUUCACUUGUGUUCUCUCUGUUGUUGAGCUGAGUUUUUCAAUCUCUUUGAUUUGUGAGUGAGAAUGAAUUAGAGGGAAGAGAAGUUUAGGAUUUCCCUUUUUAAUGGUUAGAGAUUGUGUGUUAUUUUUUUUGAUUAUUUUGUAUUUGGGUAGAGAUGGAUGAUUUCAUAACUGCUAGAAGAUUUGAACUCUAUGUUUUCUUAUUUGGCUUCAUUUCCAUUUUUUUUGGAAUUGCUUUCCAUUUGAUUGAGAAGCUGCUGAAUGGAUUAUUAAAGCAGAUUGUAGAGCAUUGCGUCUUCACUUUUCAUGUUAGGGAUUGUAAACUUUUACUGAAUUUGUAUAUGGGUAGACAUGAGUUUUGAAUCGUUCCUCUUUUUAGUUCUAAAUUUUCAUGUUUAUCGAUUUGCUUUUGUUCAUUUGUAAAGUUUCUGAGUGAGACCAAAAUGCUGAGUGAGGAGAUUUGGCUUUGAUUACUCACGUGGAGAGUAGAAAUGACAUAUUUGUAGAUGCAGAUGGGGAUAUUAUUCACGAGGCCGAUAGCAAAGUUGACUUGAAAGAUGACGAACUUUCAACAUUGGGGAUGUGGAUGGACUGGGAGAAAUGCCGGAGGAGUAAAUUUCAGAGAAAAAGAGUAUUGAGAAA